AUUUUUAAUUGAAAUCUUGUUUGAAUGGUUUAAUGAAAUAAAUUCUUUUUUAAUUUAAAUAUUGAAUUUUAUUUUUUAGUUAAAAAGCUAAAAUAUAAUAAAGGGACGAGAAGACCCUAUAGAAUUUUAUAUUAUAUUAAUUUAAAAUUUUAUUUAAUAUUAAGUAUAAUAUUUUAUUGGGGCGAUAAUUAAAUUUAAUUAACUUUAGAAUUAAAAUUCAUAAAUUAAUGUUUUUAUGAUCUUUUUUUAUUGAUUAAAAAAUUAAAUUACCUUAGGGAUAACAGCAUUAUAUUGUUAAGAAGUUCUUAUUUUUAAUAAUGUUUAU
Molecule: ribosomal RNA, 325 nt
Filed under: Rabdophaga heterobia
Lineage: Eukaryota; Metazoa; Arthropoda; Insecta; Diptera; Cecidomyiidae
Description: partial 16S ribosomal RNA
Source: RNAcentral